This 65-nucleotide transfer RNA is filed under the name Cyphoderris monstrosa. RNAcentral's name for it is "tRNA-Cys". Lineage: Eukaryota; Metazoa; Arthropoda; Insecta; Orthoptera; Prophalangopsidae. The record is from RNAcentral.
GGCCUUAUAGUCAAUUUUAUGAUAUUAGACUGCAAUUCUAAGGGAGUAGGUGACUACUAAGGCUU